This is a non-coding RNA of Cyanistes caeruleus (blue tit), 689 nucleotides long. The record is from RefSeq and is a predicted model, not a curated record. Lineage: Eukaryota; Metazoa; Chordata; Aves; Passeriformes; Paridae.
UGUUGUGCUGAAACCCCCUGUCAGUGCUGAAGAAACAGCAGGAAUUCUGUGGGAUUUGAUCCUCUUAAAGGCUUCAAAGUUAUGUAUUUAGGAGUGCCCUGAGAUGAAAAACAUAUCUUUGGGAUGUGUCCCACAAAUUCAACAUCCACUGGGAAUUAGAACAGACAUAGACAGAGAUUUCCUGGCCCAUCCCUCUGCUGGAUGUAAAAUAUAAAAAAUCCUAUUCCCUGACUGCAGGAGGCACAACCAGGAAGGAAUAUGAGAAACAAAGUGAUGGAAGAAGAUGCCUGCAACACGAGUUUCCUUACUCAAUAAUCUAAAAUACCAUCCUGCAAUCAGAGCUGCUCUGCUGCAGUGAUGCAACAAUUAAAGUUUAUUGCCUCUUUCACACUUUUUCUCCAGCAAAAUGCCAUAGCUGGGGCUCUGUUUGAUCUUUGGAGAAGCACACAACAAAAUCACUGCUCGUCCAAAAACCACCAGGAGUUUGGACAGGGAUGGCCAAACCUGCCAUUUCUCUAUGGCUGCAGUUGUAGGAGCUCUCCAGAUUUCUGCUGUGGUUCAAGGGCUGAAGACAAAGCAAAUGCUGCUGGACAAACAGGGAAGAGCUGAGGCAAAAGUAUCAGGAUUUCCUGGGGCAGAACUGGAUGGGGGUGGAGAUGUUACCAAUAAAGUUUAAAUUUGAAAUGCUU